AACCGAUUUCUCUAUGCCACAGACGCCAAAUGUCGCCAUCGAUCAAUGACAUUUUGUGUAGUCGAAUUUAUUGAUAUAAAGCGUUAAUGUAAAUAAUAAACAAUAUCAUCAUAAAAGUCGGCUUCCAGUCGAUAUGUAUGCCAAGGGCAAGGGCUCUACGGUGCCUUCGGACGCUCAGGCUCGCGAGAAAUUGGCGCUCUAUGUGUACGAAUACUUGCUUCAUGUCGGUGCGACCAAAGCGGCUCAAACAUUUUUGUCAGAAAUACGAUGGGAGAAGAAUAUAACACUGGGCGAGCCGCCCGGGUUCCUCCACUCGUGGUGGUGCGUGUUCUGGGACCUGUACUGUGCCGCGCCGGAGCGACGGGACACUUGUGAGCACUCAUCAGAAGCGAAGGCUUUCCACGACUAUGGUUUUGUCAAUUCUGGUUAUGGAGUCAACGGUAUCGGACACAACGCCGGCCCGGCGCCGCCCAACGACGGCAUGGGCGGCGGAGGCAUGCCCCCCGGAUUCUUCCCUAACUCUCCACUCCGACCGUCACCGCCAGCCCCGCAUCCCGGAUCUCAGCCAUCUCCCCACGGACCACAACCACAGCUAAUGGGCACUGGACAGCCGUUUAUAGGACCUUGGUACUCCGGUGGAGGACCGAGAGGAGCCGUACGGAUGGGCAUGGGCAAUGAUUUUAAUGGGCCUCCAGGUCAGGGCAUGAUGGGCAAUUCUCUGGAGCGGGGCGGCGGCGGCGUGCUGGGCGGGCCGCGCAUGACGCCGCCGCGGCCCGGCAUGGGGCCCAUGAGCCCGGGCGCCUACGCCGCCGGCAUGCGCGGCCCGCCGCCACAGGGACCAGGUAUGCCACCAAUGGGUAUGGGACCUCGAGGCGCGUGGGCCGGGGGCAGCGGUGGCGGCGGCGGCGGCGGUGCGGCCCCGCUGAACUACUCAGGGGGCUCUCCGGGCGCGUACGGGGCCCCGCCGGGCAGCAACGGGCCCCCGGGCCCACCGACACCGAUCAUGCCAAGCCCACAAGACUCGUCCAAUUCCGGGGGCGAGAACAUGUACACACUGAUGAAGCCGGUGGGCGGAGCGCUGGGGGCCGAGUUCCCUCUGCCCGCGGACCACGGCCCGGCGUCGCAGCACCUACCACAGCAGCCGGCCACUGAAGGUGUCUUGUCUCAGGGCUGGGGGGAGUCGACGGCAUGAAGUCGUCGCCCGGAGGCGUGGGAGGGGGAGGGCCGGGAACUCCCCGGGAAGACUCUGGAUCGGGAAUGGGAGACUACAACUUAAGUUUCGGUGGCCCCGGCGGCGACCAAAACGACCAAACCGAAUCGGCAGCGAUUUUGAAAAUAAAGGAAAGCAUGCAGGAGGAGGCCAAGAGAUUCGAGAAAGAUCCCGAACACCCGGACUAUUUUAUGCAGUGAACGGUUCAUUUUCGAAAAUAACUGACGCGCCGCCGACUUGCCGAGAAAAAAAAGUAUUUUUUUCUUUUCAUUUUUUUUACCGUCUGAAAAAAUACCGUUACCGAAGUUUUGAUACGUUCGGUUUUUUUUUGUAGUUCGGUAUCGGUAAUACCGAAGCUCUUUCAUAUUCAAGUAGUUCGGUAAUUCGGUAAUACCGAACCACUUACAUAGUCAAAAUAAAAUCUUUUUACUGUCAACUUGAGCGUACAAAACUGAUAUCGGUAUUUUUUUUGGAAACGGUUUUUUGGUAUUCGGUAAUGGGAAAUAGUUCGGUUUCGGAGUUUGAAGUGUUGAGACUUUUCGAUAUCGUUUUUGUAUUGGUAUCGGUAUUUUGGAUACCAAGUUUUUUGGGUAUCGGAUUUUUUCGAUACCGAUGUAUAAUUUUCGAAACCGAACUAUUUUUGUACUAUUUUGUACGAAAUUUUCAUAUGCAUUGCAAAGCUAGUUAAAUUAUAAAUUCGGGAUGAUUUUUUUAAAUCAAAAAAUAUGUGAAAUAUUUGUAUGAUCUCAAAAUUAUACAUUUUUGGUGAGUUGGCGCGCGUUCUGAUUUGCGUUCCGACGGUCUGAUGGUAAGAAAAUCAUGUAUUUUUCAAAAUACCCUUUUCCUUCGGAGUUUUCCUUUGCACAAUUAUUUAUUAUUUUUAAUUUAGCCCGGUGUAGUAUAUUCUUUUUUUUAAUAAUAUGUUUCUCGGAUCAAUGUCAGUUGUGUUACAUAUUUUUUUUAUUGACAUAAGGGUAAAUAAAUUAGUAAAAAUUCACAUAGGAACGAACUUUCAUAAAAUUAUGGUCAUUUAUAAACUUUGGAAUAUAAUAAGACUUUUUAAAGUCUGCAGCUACGUACAAAAAAUAUUUUAAAAUUUUAAUAUGUGACAUAAUUGGCAAAAAGUACCCAAAUUCUGGUGGUAGGGGGUGAAAUUGUUAAAUGCAUUUCGUUAACGCUUUUGUCAGUCAGUAAUGAUAUUGUCAGUCAUCAACGACAUUGUCAGUCAACAACGGCCAAGUAGUUUUUGUAUAGAAAAUGUUUACCGUCGUAAUUUUGUAUUGUGACGAUGUCAUAUUUUGUCACAAGUUAAUUUAAAAAUAAUUAAUUUUGAUUCAUUUAUUAAAUAUGAUUUUACUGAAAAAUCAAUUAAUUACUACGUGAUUUUUUUAAAUCUACAAUUAAAUGUAAUCGAUAUAUAUUUUUGAUUAUUACAAAAUAGAGUCUGUAUGUUUGUCAUGCCCUACCAUCAGUAAAAGUGAUGAAUUAUAUAUUAACAAUAUUUAAGUUAUAUAAAAAAGGAUUUUUUAUUUCGAAUAAAUUUAUUAUGUAUGUCCUAGUUAUGUAAAUGUCUUUAUUUUUAAAAAACUAAUUUUUUGACUAUGAACUUAUUGUCGAAAAGGGGCUUCGGUUGGGGGAAAGGGCUAAGUUUCCAAUUUUUUUUUCAAAAUUUUUGGGAUUUUUUUUGAGAAUUUUCAAAAUCGUAGGUCGACCGUGGUCUCGCUAUUUGAACCGAAAUUUUGCCUCAAUUUAGACACUUCACUGUCCACGAUUCAGGCACAAUGGUUAAACACGCCUUACUACAAAAACUUAAACAUCUGUUGAACACUUGUCUAAAAAACGGACCUUAUGUCAACGUCAUAAUGUGUCAUUUUUUUUGACAAGUGUUCAACUGACGUUUAGAAGUUGUUGUGGUACGACGGUCAGUGUGUAUCACAUAUGACUCAAGAGACAGGGAAGUUAUUAAAACUAUAUUCUACAGUAUAAGACUAUCCUCUCGGAAGAUUUAGAACGCUUGGCCCCUUAAAGCAGGCAACCGAAGCCGUUUUUUUUUUAUAUAAAAUACAUAAUAUUUUAAGAAAACGACAUAGCGCACCGAUUUUUAUCAGUUUUUUUGUGCGUUAAUAUGUAUUGAAAUUGUUUUUUUUUUGGGCUGAAGUGUGAUUCCUAAUUUUGCAAAUCUAUAUACAUAUAUAAAAAUGAAUAUAUGCCUUCAUCACGCCAGCACGCGUGGGUUUUUGUCACUAUCCAACUAUUGAAAGCAGUAAUCUGUGGACGCGGGUAAAAAAAAAACAUCUUUGGCAAUCGUUAUGGGUAGUCGAAGCCAGUAAGUUAGACAAUCAGUCUUAUGAAGGGGUAUCGUGCUGCCCUGGUAACUGGGUUGACGAGGUCAGAUAGGCAGUCUCUCCAUGUGGCACACUGGUAUUCAGCUGCAUCUGGUUAGACUGGCAACUGACGCAAAUAUACUUAGGAAAAGGCUAGGCAAAUGAUGAUGAAUUUUCAAUUUAUCAUUUUUUUUUCAACUGUCACCAUUCUUGCUAUAUUAAUUCCGGUUAUUUGUGUGUGUAAAACCUAAAAAAAAUGCGGUUUUAAAAGUUAGGAUGCACCACUUCAGCUCAAAAAUUAUCAAUUCUUCUUCCACAUUUUUAAAUCGAGAAAAAAUAUGGUAAAUUAGUUGUUUAGCAUUACAUUGUUUUUAAGCUCUUAAUGUUCCUAGAUUUGUAUUUUUUUUUUUAAUUUAUAAGGACGCGAUUUUUAAAGGAAUUUUUAAUUAUUCAAUGUAUCGGUGCGUCAGGCGGGAUCGUUUUUGGGAAGCGAACAUUUUUCAAGAUGGCCGUUUGACAGCUCAGAUGUCAAACUGUCAGGUAAUGUCAAAAAAUUUCUUUCUGGUUAAUGGAUGGAAUAUGGAAUGGAAAAUAGAUAAGUUGCUUUAUGGUAUUGUUUUCAAUAUUUUUAAUGAUUCAUGCCUUUGAAAUUACAUAAAAAUUGACAUAAGUAUAUCGUCAAUUUUGACGUAGUUUUAUAUUUUUUACAAACAUUUUUAAAUAGGUCAAAUUUCUUGAAUAAAAAUUGUGCGUGCCAAUAUUUAAAUCACAUUCACAAUUAUAAUAUUUUUAAUAAAAAAUAGUUUUUGAGUAAUUAGUGAGUUUCCCAAAGACGGUGUCGCGUCAGUUUUUUUAUGUUUCGAAGUGCGAUAGAAUUAUUGGAAGUAAGUGUCGAUAAUUCCUCUCACUCCGGAACAGGCAUUUAUUCAUGUUUAAUAAAUUAUAUCGAUAUACAGAUAUUGUCGCGCGGUAACCACUAUGUUUAGUAAUAGCGGGCUAGGGCCGCACAAAACUAUCGAUAUCGAGAAAUAUAACAAACAAAACAAAAGUUUUUAUUUAUCGACAAUAUCGAUAACUUUGCCCGUCCCUGGUCAAGGUGGAGAUUUUUAUGCAGAAAAAUUUUAUACCGUGAGAUAGUGAUGUGUUGUAGGUUUCUUUUCAUUCUGGUAUUUUUCAUGUAGUAUAGGUAUUUUUUUUUCUUUCGGGGUGUGUGGAAAUCUGUAUAAAUUAGAUUUUACUAGAGAUUUUUCGGAGAGGUAGUUCUUAAGUUAUAUGGGGCGUCGCCCUGUCCAUAGCUCUGCGCAAAGUUGGGUUCAUUUAGUGGCCACUAGUGAUGUGACACCUCUAUAUCGGUAACAAUUGAAUCUCGACUCGAAUUCGGACAAAAAAGUAUUUUUCGUUUAUUAAAAAAAAAUCGUGUAAAUAAAAUCAAACCUUUUGGAUGGAGAUUAUUUUUCAAAUUUUUAUUUUAAUUUUAGCUUUUUUUUAACACUAAACGGACCCAAACAUUGUAUAUUACGCAGCGUUGAAUUAAUUAGGAAUUAAGAAUUUAGUGUUAACACAAAAUAGAUUUCAACAAUGCAAAAAAAAGUUUUUUAAAAAAUAUUAUGAUUAUUUUUUUUUGUUUAAUAAUAUUAAUUGAUUAAUACAAGUAGCGUGAGGUUGUAUCUUUGUUUAAAGUUAAGAUAUAAUUAUUUCCUUUAAUUUGUCACUUAGAUAAAUAAAAUAUUUUUUUCUUAUCUUAUUGAUGUCAUGUUUAUAUACAUACAUAAAUAGUUAUUAUAUAUUAAAGAUA
Helicoverpa zea (corn earworm) is the source of this 5329-nucleotide RNA transcript. It is a transcript of the gene named single-stranded DNA-binding protein 3, with no coding region annotated. NCBI's taxonomy places the organism in Eukaryota, Metazoa, Arthropoda, Insecta, Lepidoptera, Noctuidae. The transcript is spliced from 7 exons. The record is from RefSeq and is a predicted model, not a curated record.